RNAcentral lists this unclassified non-coding RNA (262 nucleotides) under plant metagenome. Its description in RNAcentral is "partial contains small subunit ribosomal RNA, internal transcribed spacer 1, and 5.8S ribosomal RNA". The record is from RNAcentral.
UCUCCGUUGGUGAACCAGCGGAGGGAUCAUUACCGAGUUUACAACUCCCAAACCCCUAUGUGAACGUUACCAAACUGUUGCCUCGGCGGGAAAUUCAUGCCCCGGGCGCGUCGCAGCCCCGGACCAAGGCGCCCGCCGGAGGUCCAACCAAAACUCUUUUGUAUGUCCCUCGCGGACUUUUAUAAUUCUGAACCAUCUCGGCGCCCCUAGCGGGCGUUUCGAAAAUGAAUCAAAACUUUCAACAACGGAUCUCUUGGUUCUG